ACGAACGCUGGCGGCGUGCUUAACACAUGCAAGUCGAACGGUGAAGCGCCUUCCUUUUUGGUGGGUGUGGAUGAGUGGCGAACGGGUGAGUAACACGUGAGUAACCUGCCCCCUUCUUCUGGAUAACCGCAUGAAAGUGUGGCUAAUACGGGAUAUUCUGGGUCUGUCGCAUGAUGGGUCUGGGAAAGAUAUUGUUUCGGUGGGGGAUGGGCUCGCGGCCUAUCAGCUUGGUGGUGGGGUGAUGGCCUACCAAGGCGGUGCGGGGUCGCCGGGCUGGGAGGGUGGGCGGUCACGCUGGGGCUGAGACACGGCCCAGACUCCGACGGGAGGCAGCAGUGGGGAUUAUUGCACAGUGGGCGCAAGGCUGAUGCAGCGACGCCGCGUGAGGGAUGGACGCCUUCGGGUUGUGAACCUCUUUCGCCAGUGAAGCAGGCCUGCCUCGUUUGUGGGUGGGUUGACGGUAGCUGGAUAAGAAGCGCCGGCUAACUACGUG
This 493-nucleotide ribosomal RNA is filed under the name uncultured bacterium. RNAcentral's name for it is "partial 16S ribosomal RNA". It matches the Rfam family "Bacterial small subunit ribosomal RNA", at positions 29 to 507 of the family's 1533-position model. The record is from RNAcentral.